CGGGUGGUUACAGAGGCUUCACUGGAGAGAGUGGCGCCACCAAGCGCCUUUCCUGAGAACUACACUCAGCAUCUCAGCCUCAAACCACCUGAGCUUUGAAUUGUGUCUGUGAGUUAUCUGGACUUUAUCUCAAUUUAUUUUGUGUAUCCGUUGCCACGGUGUGUGGUAAGGUAUCAGAAGAACCGAAAAGGUGGUUUCUGGGGGAUCUGGAUCAGAAAUGUUUCCAUAUACAUGAACAGUAAUCGCUCCUUCAUAGGAAGACUUUUCCGCUUACAGUGGGCAUGCUCUACUUUGGAAGACCAGGGAACCUGUAUGUGGACUGUGCCUCCCUACGAGGAUCCACCAGUCCGGGGCACGUGGGUGAGACUGGAGGGCUGGAGGAGGUAGAAGGGCCUGCUCCUUGCUUGCUGAACAGUGCUGCGAGUGUCACACCAACAGCAAUUCUUUCUGGAAAUUUAAAAAUGGGCAGAGGAUCAGAAGAGACAUUUUUCCAAAGAAGACAUACAGAUGGCCAACAGGUGACAUCAAUACUUGGUGCUUCCUCUUUGGCUUUGUAUGGCAUGGUUAUCCCCACUCGAAGACCUGUGAGUACAAUAAACUCCCUUGAAGAAGAGCCUCGUCCUCAUUUCUUCCUGUGGCUACACCAACUUUACCAUGUAUCUCCAACAUUUACACUCUCGGAACAAGUAUUAUAAAUUUGAUAAUUUUUCACAAAAUAUACACUUGAUUUAUAUUUAUUGUUAAAACACUAUUAAUGCAUGUUAAUUAUACCUAAAUAAAAACAUAUCAUGCAGAACACUGUUAGACUCUAGCGAAAAUUUAAAACGAAAUAUAAUACGUAUAUCAUACCAUUUCAGUUAAACCAUCACUUUCCUUUUCAAGCCUGCCUUUCUAAUUUUGUUCCAUAUACUUUCCUCUUUGUAAGAUUAACAAGAAAAUAUGAAUGAUCUACACUAAUUACAGUGCUCAGGUAUGUAAAAACACUUCCUUCUAUGUCAUUCUGAGACCUUACGAAGGAAAGGAGUGAUCAGAGAAACAGGAUGGAAACUAGAAGAGAGUCGUGUCCAGAUGCCCAGGAAGGAGAAUAUUUCUAGAAGGAAGCGAUGCGCCAUGUCAAAUGCUAGUGAAAGAUCCAGCAACGAGAGAUCUGAACAUGCUUAUUGGAUUUAGCAGCAGGUUUUAAUAAAGUGUUGGCAAACCUUUCAAUCAGUUUGGCUGUGAGAAGGGAAGGAAAAUAAAGUGCUGGAGCUGGAGACACAAUGAGACUAA
Molecule: long non-coding RNA, 1269 nt
Filed under: Mustela putorius furo (domestic ferret)
Lineage: Eukaryota; Metazoa; Chordata; Mammalia; Carnivora; Mustelidae
Description: lncRNA (ENSMPUG00000031802.1)
Source: RNAcentral